RNAcentral lists this long non-coding RNA (241 nucleotides) under Lepisosteus oculatus (spotted gar). RNAcentral describes it as "lncRNA (ENSLOCG00000022301.1)". The record is from RNAcentral. Lineage: Eukaryota; Metazoa; Chordata; Actinopteri; Semionotiformes; Lepisosteidae.
AUUAAGUUAACGUAGAUCAACCCAAAUGAGAAACAGCUGGAGGAGAUCUGAAGUCCCACUCAGUUGAGAAUGGAGCCUGAGUCAAUCGGAAGAGGGCACAACUGGAAAAGAACUGAACGUCAGCAACUCCUCGAGGGUGGCGGUGAGGGGGGCGAUCCUAUCACACAGCAAGCUGGAUCCAUCCUGGAUACGGGGCAGGCACACGGACACCCACACCAGGGUUAAGAGAGGCUGAGGUUAG